Molecule: long non-coding RNA, 619 nt
Filed under: Vombatus ursinus (common wombat)
Lineage: Eukaryota; Metazoa; Chordata; Mammalia; Diprotodontia; Vombatidae
Description: lncRNA (ENSVURG00010008992.1)
Source: RNAcentral
CUAAAGACACCAUGGCAGUCAGGCGGAGAAGGGGUACUUGUCGAUUCCGCCCUCCUCGCCCUCCACCUCUCGAACACUUCAGACGCUCCAUCCGACUUGUCCUCGAGACUGUCCUUAAAUUCUCGAGCGAUGAAGGGCUUUACGUUUUUAUUUCAAUAGCAGGCACUUCCAAGAAAGAUUUCAGGCCAUUAAUCAGAAGCGCCUACGUGCAGGGGAAUCCAGUGGAGCAUAAAUCCUGCAGGCGGGCGUUCAAUUUCAGUGAGAGAGGUGACGGUCUACACCAGCCGCAGCACUGCUGAAUUUGGAGCCUGAAUCUAGUCCUGGCUUUGCUUACUACCUGAGUCAUCUCAGGCAAGUCCCUUCACUUUUCUGAGCCUCAAGUUUCCUCAUCUGUAAAAAGGAGGGGGCUGAGCUAGGUGACCGUUGAGGAUCUUUCCAAGCUUGAAAUUCAUGAUCCUGCCAUACUACUGAGUUGUUAUGGCAGCAUGAUGGAUUUCAACUGAUCCAUCCUCACACUUCCAUCAUGAAAGAGAACAAAUAAUUCUGGCCAUUCUAUCAUUAUGUUAUCCCUUCCUGAAAUGCAUAGGGCACCCCCUCUAGCCUCUCUCUUCCUCUUGUC